RNAcentral lists this ribosomal RNA (252 nucleotides) under uncultured bacterium. RNAcentral describes it as "partial 16S ribosomal RNA". It matches the Rfam family "Bacterial small subunit ribosomal RNA", at positions 524 to 776 of the family's 1533-position model. The record is from RNAcentral.
UACGUAGGGUGCGAACGUUAAUCGGAAUUACUGGGCGUAAAGCGUGCGCAGGCGGCUUUGCAAGACAGAUGUGAAAUCCCCGGGCUCAACCUGGGAACUGCAUUUGUGACUGCAAGGCUAGAGUACGGCAGAGGGGGAUGGAAUUCCGCGUGUAGCAGUGAAAUGCGUAGAUAUGCGGAGGAACACCAAUGGCGAAGGCAAUCCCCUGGCCUGUACUGACGCUCAUGCACGAAAGCGUGGGGAGCAAACAGG